CCAUGCUAGUUGUACGGGUUUAGACCCGUAGCAAAUAGCUCCGUAACACGUGGUCAAACUACCCUCUGGACCGGGAUACCCUCGGGAAACUGAGGUCAAUCCCGGAUACUGCUUUCAUGUUGGAACACAGAAAGUCGGAAACGGUCCGCCGCCGGAGGACGUGACUGCGGCCGAUUAGGUAGACGGUGGGGUAACGGCCCACCGUGCCGAUAAUCGGUACGGGUUGUGAGAGCAAGAACCCGGAGACGGUAUCUGAGACAAGAUACCGGGCCCUACGGGGCGCAGCAGGCGCGAAACCUUUACACUGCACGCCAGUGCGAUAAGGGGACCCCGAGUGCGAGGGCAUACAGUCCUCGCUUUUCGUGACCGUAAGAAGGUCUCAGAAUAAGAGCUGGGCAAGACCGGUGCCAGCCGCCGCGGUAAUACCGGCAGCUCGAGUGAUAGCCACUAUUAUUGGGCCUAAAGCGUCCGUAGCCGGCCGAACAGGUCCGUCGGGAAAUCCACCCGCUCAACGGGUGGACGUCCGGCGGAAACCAGUCGGCUUGGGGCCGGGAGACCAGAGAGGUACGUCCGGGGUAGGAGUGAAAUCCUGUAAUCCUGGACGGACCACCGGUAGCGAAAGCGUCUCUGGAGAACGGACCCGACGGUGAGGGACGAAAGCUUGGGUCUCGAACCGGAUUAGAUACCCGGGUAGUCCAAGCUGUAAACGAUGCUCGCUAGGUGUGGCGUUGGCUACGAGCCAGCGCUGUGCCGUAGGGAAGCCGAGAAGCGAGCCGCCUGGGAAGUACGUCCGCAAGGAUGAAACUUAAAGGAAUUGGCGGGGGAGCACUACAACCGGAGGAGCCUGCGGUUUAAUUGGACUCAACGCCGGACAUCUCACCGGCACCGACAGUGUGCA
This 898-nucleotide ribosomal RNA is filed under the name Halococcus dombrowskii. RNAcentral describes it as "bacterial SSU rRNA". It matches the Rfam family "Archaeal small subunit ribosomal RNA", at positions 49 to 948 of the family's 1478-position model. The record is from RNAcentral. Lineage: Archaea; Methanobacteriati; Methanobacteriota; Halobacteria; Halobacteriales; Halococcaceae.